UGGGGAAUAUUGCGCAAUGGGCGCAAGCCUGAUGACGCAACGCCGCGUGGGGGAUGAAGGUCUUCGGAUCGUAAACCCCUGUCGAAUGGGACGAAAGACUCGCGAGUGAAUACUUCGCGAGAGUGACGGUACCGUUAAAGGAAGCCACGGCUAACUCUGUGCCAGCAGCCGCGGUAAUACAGAGGUGGCAAGCGUUGUUCGGAAUUACUGGGCGUAAAGGGCGCGUAGGCGGCCCUCUAAGUCAGACGUGAAAUCCCCCGGCUUAACCUGGGAACUGCGUCUGAUACUGGAGGGCUUGAGUAUGGGAGAGGGAUGUAGAAUUCCAGGUGUAGCGGUGAAAUGCGUAGAUAUCUGGAGGAAUACCGGUGGCGAAGGCGGCAUCCUGGACCAUUACUGACGCUGAGGCGCGAAAGCUAGGGGAGCAAACGGGGAUUAGAUACCCGAGUAGUCCCUGAGCGGGCUGGCAAGGCGCAU
Molecule: ribosomal RNA, 474 nt
Filed under: uncultured bacterium
Lineage: Bacteria
Description: bacterial SSU rRNA
Rfam family: Bacterial small subunit ribosomal RNA
Source: RNAcentral